AGAGUUUGAUCAUGGCUCAGGACGAACGCUGGCGGCGUGCGUAAUACAUGCAAGUAGAACGCUGAAGAGAGGAGCUUGCUCUUCUUGGAUGAGUUGCGAACGGGUGAGUAACGCGUAGGUAACCUGCCUUGUAGCGGGGGAUAACUAUUGGAAACGAUAGCUAAUACCGCAUAACAAUGGAUGACACAUGUCAUUUAUUUGAAAGGGGCAAUUGCUCCACUACAAGAUGGACCUGCGUUGUAUUAGCUAGUAGGUGAGGUAAUGGCUCACCUAGGCGACGAUACAUAGCCGACCUGAGAGGGUGAUCGGCCACACUGGGACUGAGACACGGCCCAGACUCCUACGGGAGGCAGCAGUAGGGAAUCUUCGGCAAUGGGGGCAACCCUGACCGAGCAACGCCGCGUGAGUGAAGAAGGUUUUCGGAUCGUAAAGCUCUGUCUGUAAGUCAAGAACGGGUGUGAGAGUGGAAAGUUCACACUGUGACGGUAGCUUACCAGAAAGGGACGGCUAACUACGUGCCAGCAGCCGCGGUAAUACGUAGGUCCCGAGCGUUGUCCGGAUUUAUUGGGCGUAAAGCGAGCGCAGGCGGUUUGAUAAGUCUGAAGUUAAAGGCUGUGGCUCAACCAUAGUUCGCUUUGGAAACUGUCAAACUUGAGUGCAGAAGGGGAGAGUGGAAUUCCAUGUGUAGCGGUGAAAUGCGUAGAUAUAUGGAGGAACACCGGUGGCGAAAGCGGCUCUCUGGUCUGUAACUGACGCUGAGGCUCGAAAGCGUGGGGAGCGAACAGGAUUAGAUACCCUGGUAGUCCACGCCGUAAACGAUGAGUGCUAGGUGUUGGAUCCUUUCCGGGAUUCAGUGCCGCAGCU
Molecule: ribosomal RNA, 864 nt
Filed under: uncultured bacterium
Lineage: Bacteria
Description: bacterial SSU rRNA
Rfam family: Bacterial small subunit ribosomal RNA
Source: RNAcentral